RNAcentral lists this long non-coding RNA (960 nucleotides) under Gallus gallus (chicken). RNAcentral describes it as "lncRNA (ENSGALG00010007127.1)". The record is from RNAcentral. Lineage: Eukaryota; Metazoa; Chordata; Aves; Galliformes; Phasianidae.
CUAAAUUGACAGCUCGGGAGAAUUUGAGAUAGAAGCUAAAUAUGGUACAUUUGGACACUAUUUUCCUAAGCCUAGAAUGACUGGAAGACUUUAACAAGCAAAUACACUGUGGGUAUGUGGGUACAGUCUUGACUAAUACAGGCCAGAAAGAAAUGAAGGGGAGGAUCUUGUUCCUAAAAGGCACACGAAAAGUCAAUGAACAGACCUUGGGCAAAGAGAAGAUUGCUUGCAGUCAUGUGCGCUACAACAGAAAUGAAAUUGCAGACCAAAAUUCAUCGCCAGUGUGCAAGACAAAGUGUCUAUUUUCUAUUUUGGAAAUUUCAAGGAAGGGAUUAAACAUGCACAAGCACUACUUAGCAACAAAACACUGGGGAACCAUACUGUGUGUACUAUAACUUCAUUUCAUAAGACUAUCAUCACAAACUGCCAGUAUUUCAUCACUGCCAAGAUGUCUUCAGAGAAAGACAGGAGAAGUCAAGGAAGUGGCUCUCAAGACACCCCCAAUAAGCUCUCUGCCAUCACUCAAGCUUCCCACAAGGCAAGUUCACCAUCCCUGAGGAUAAUUAAUAAAUUUACUUCUAGACCAACAACCUUUAAGAAAAAACAUUUGCCUAAUCAAGUCAUAAAGUAGGUUUGUUUUCAAUUUUACACCUUUAAAAGUUCUUACUGUUAAACAAACAAAGAUAUAAAUCAGCAACUGUCUUAUACAAAAGCUGCUUGUCAGUUUGAAACAAUGAUACUUGCAUUUCUGUAUUUGUAGACUAAAUGCUUUUCUAAUCUGAUGCAUAAAUCUAGAUUAAGUGCAUCCAAUAGAACUGAUACAAAUUAUCCAUUGGCCUUUAAUUCUGAUCUCUAAAAUAUAAGUAAUUAAUUUGGUAUAAAUAAGAAGUUAUUUACCAGUGAGGAUAGAAGUGAAUAAUUGAUGUACCUGUUCUCUCUUGUACACUGUCUUGGUUCAUG